This 252-nucleotide ribosomal RNA is filed under the name uncultured bacterium. RNAcentral's name for it is "partial 16S ribosomal RNA". It matches the Rfam family "Bacterial small subunit ribosomal RNA", at positions 524 to 776 of the family's 1533-position model. The record is from RNAcentral.
UACGUAGGGUGCGAGCGUUAAUCGGAAUUACUGGGCGUAAAGCGUGCGCAGGCGGUGGCUCAAGCCAGGCGUGAAAUCCCCGGGCUUAACCUGGGAUGGCGUUUGGGACUGGGUCGCUAGAGUGUGGCAGAGGGAGGUGGAAUUCCACGUGUAGCAGUGAAAUGCGUAGAGAUGUGGAGGAACACCGAUGGCGAAGGCAGCCUCCUGGGCCAGCACUGACGCUCAUGCACGAAAGCGUGGGGAGCAAACAGG